Molecule: ribosomal RNA, 264 nt
Filed under: uncultured prokaryote
Description: partial 16S ribosomal RNA
Rfam family: Bacterial small subunit ribosomal RNA
Source: RNAcentral
UACGUAGGGGGCUAGCGUUGUCCGGAAUCAUUGGGCGUAAAGGGUUCGUAGGCGGUAAUACAUGUCAGAUGUGAAAUCUUGUGGCUUAACCACAUCAAGCAUCUGAAACUGUAUAACUUGAGUGAAGGAGAGGUAAGUGGAAUUCCUAGUGUAGCGGUGAAAUGCGUAGAUAUUCGGAGGAACACCAGUGGCGAAGGCGGCUUGCUGGACUCUAACUGACGCUGAGGCCCGAAAGCGUGGGGAGCAAACAGGAUUAGAUACCCG